Molecule: long non-coding RNA, 400 nt
Filed under: Phoenix dactylifera (date palm)
Lineage: Eukaryota; Viridiplantae; Streptophyta; Magnoliopsida; Arecales; Arecaceae
Description: long non-coding RNA (PDAC_LNC019561)
Source: RNAcentral
CAUUCUCUUACUUGCUACUAUUAUCUCUCCUUAUCCUCCAAUCUCCUCUGACUUGAUCGUCGGAGGGCCCCCGCUACCCCAGUGGUGGUGCGAGGCUUGCUUGCAGGUUUUUCGGUGGAAGGUGGAGCGCAAUCAACACCAACCAAGGCAACUCAAACGGAACCCCGUUCACACCGCUGUGCCAAUCGUUCUCGGUUUGGACCACCAGCAACAGUUGGCGCUAGAAGGAGGGCACGAAUCUCAGAGCGAUCGUAAUGGCACGGCGAGGUGGUCGUGGAGCUUCCAAUGCCUCCGGUCGCGGGGCCUCUCGCGUCUCCGGCCGGGAGGCCGCUGCGUCUCCAACACAUUCUCAGCAACACUCCACCGCUCCACCUCCCAUUCAGAUGGUCGAAGCCGCUCA